UUCGCUCUCGGAAGCUUUUGUUCCCUGAACGCUUUCCAUAGAGUUCCGGAGGAUGGGAAUGAAAAUGGCGGCCUACCAGUCUCCGGCUCAGAGGAGCUGAGGGCUUGGGGCCCCACUCCUCAGUGCAUCCUCGGAGAAAAGCAGUCAAUCCCUCCCAUCUCCCUGGUCUCUGGCUGCGCUCCGAGCUCACCCAGCCAAUGACUGAGCAUCUCUGUUUCUGCCACACGGCCCCGUUUGGAGUCUCAAAACCCAGCAGAUUCAUGCCUUGUGCUCCUGCGCUUCUCCUCCCAAAGGAGGAAGGGGAUGGAUUUUACUAUUGACUCCUGCCUCAAUGAAGAACAUUAAUGGUUUUACCCUCAUUCCAUCAAUACAAUGGAAACUCUGUCAAGAAAUGUUGGAGUCUCUUUGAACAAUCAGUCUCAUCACUCACCUCGCCCGGAGUCUCCAAAUCCAGCAGAUCCCUGCCACUCUUCUGGGGGGAUGUCCCAGAUCUGCUGCUUGUGGGGUCCCUGCUCAAAGAGCAGUUGCCUGACUGUGCCACGGAUCACAGUUUAAG
Long non-coding RNA from Lutra lutra (Eurasian river otter), 556 nucleotides. RefSeq lists it as uncharacterized. The record is from RefSeq and is a predicted model, not a curated record. The transcript is spliced from 3 exons. Lineage: Eukaryota; Metazoa; Chordata; Mammalia; Carnivora; Mustelidae.